Bactrocera latifrons is the source of this 916-nucleotide long non-coding RNA. RefSeq lists it as uncharacterized. The record is from RefSeq and is a predicted model, not a curated record. NCBI's taxonomy places the organism in Eukaryota, Metazoa, Arthropoda, Insecta, Diptera, Tephritidae. The transcript has 3 exons.
UCUUUUGCCGCUUCAUCAUACGGUACACCACUGGCGCUGAUCUUCUUCUUGAGCAUGUGCAUGCUGGCACGCCUAUGGAAGAGCGCGUUCGGUUGUAAGCCAUCGGCAGAAUCAAGAUCAACAAUUAUUUCGGAGUUGCUGACCUUUCACAAGCAAAAAAGCGUAAGAGGAAUACCCCAGUCAAGUGACCCGAAUAAAUACAAACGAAGUAGCAAAUAAACUGUUAAAUAUUGGGAAGAAGGAUGCUGGAUAAAGCACAGAAAAACGCCCAACUGGAAAAAGGCCUCGGCACACAUUCACAAUAUGUAUCAGUUGUCGUUUAUGAAGGCAAAACGGAAUCGAAAAUUUAACUCAUACGACUGCAUAGAAUAUGUAAUAUCAAGGACAAACUUCCGCAGGAAGUAAAAAGAACCAAUCGCAAUCGCAGUCACAGAUUUAUUUAAUCUUAAUAAAAUUAUUUAAUCUUAAUAAAAUAAUAAUAAAAAAAUAAAUAAAUAAUCUUAAUCUAUUUAGCGGAAUGAUACAACAUCGUACUGCAAGGUCAACCCUCACCCACGUGAAUUGUUGAACUUAUUAUUCUUCGGAGCCAACUGAAUGUGUGCGAUAGCUGCUUGUAUGAUCACUAUGACAGAUUGGAUUACUCAUACUGAAUACACUUGAAGACAUAACUAAGUUGGCUGUCUAAAUCGUGGCUCACAAGACAUACUGCAUCAUAUAGUAGACAUUGGUGUUUUAUAUUAUAUUUAUAAUACGAAAUCUUAAUCAGUAUAUAUAUGUAACAAAUAGCAAAGGAAUGACAAGGUAUUGCGGUCACGUUACAAUGAAAUUGAUUGUGAUAUUUAAAUGCUGGUUCAACUUGUGAAGUUUGGCAUGACUUAAAAUUUAUAUUUAAUAAAACAAAAUUGAAAACCUCAAA